UACUUGACUGGACUAUUGGCUUUGAAUUGUAUUGUGGAAAUGUAUUACCCAGUGCAGGUGCCAGCCUAUUGAAAUAAAGCGUCAAUGAGGGUGAGAAUCCUGUUUGUCAUGUGCAGCCCUUUGUGCACGGUGUAUAUUUGCUGAGUCACACUCCUUGGCAUUGGAAUGCAAAGUGGGUGGUAAGUUUCAUGUAAAGGUAAACAUGCAAUUGAGACUGAUAGCACACAAGUACCAUGAGGGAAAUAUGAAAAGGACUUUGAAAAGAAUUAAAUGAGUUUGUAUUUGCUGAACACAAAGUAAACAGACUUGAUUUGCUUGGUGGGAGUGUUGCACUUGCUUGACAAGAGCUUUGGGCUGUGGGUGUAAUGAUUCUUUCUUUGCAUGCCAGUUUCUAUUUGUACAUCUGAUUACCUUUGCACAUGAAUGAUAAGUCUCCUGUGGGGGGUGGAUUGCAUGUGCAUGUAAUGAUUUGUGUUUUGAUAAAUGUGUCUGGUGUAUGUGUGUGUUCCUGUGCUUGGGGAUGCUUCCUUCCUUGGACUUACAAGCCCUGACACACACAUGCUGGCAAAAUGCUUCUGCUUGACCCGUCUUGAAACACGGACCAAGGAGUCUAACAGAUGUGCACGUUAGUGGUAUACCUUUGUGUGCAUGGUGUCGCGGGAUAUGUGCACGCACCCAAUAAUUAGACAGAGGUUGAUAUCUAUUAGGACCCGAAAUGGUGAACUUGCUGAACAG
This 735-nucleotide ribosomal RNA is filed under the name Alexandrium catenella. RNAcentral describes it as "partial large subunit ribosomal RNA". It matches the Rfam family "Eukaryotic large subunit ribosomal RNA", at positions 117 to 844 of the family's 3401-position model. The record is from RNAcentral. Lineage: Eukaryota; Dinophyceae; Gonyaulacales; Pyrocystaceae.